GCGUGGUGCGCGUGAUUUGUACCGAUCCGCGCCAUAAGCAGCGUCAAGGCUGAUUCGAAGGACUAGACCAUGGCACGUAUCGCCGGCAUCAACAUUCCCGUG
This 102-nucleotide small RNA is filed under the name Burkholderiales bacterium JOSHI_001. Its description in RNAcentral is "Alpha operon ribosome binding site". Lineage: Bacteria; Pseudomonadati; Pseudomonadota; Betaproteobacteria; Burkholderiales. The record is from RNAcentral.